CCAGAGCGUGUGGGGCUGGGAGUGGGGGGUGAACCAGCAAGUUGAACAAAAAAUGUUUCUGUUCAUUUCCUCACAGAUCAUCCAUUCUAACGACGGGGAAAAAAAUCUUAAUGACUAUGACCUUAGCAGCAUGGCUAGCUGAUUUAUCCCCGUUAUAAAUCCCGUUAGUUUGCGGUAAUGUAUCUACAGGAGCUUUGCCUCAUUCGAUUUACAAUACGGACAGUGAAAGAGGUGGAAGGCUGCAGAAAGACAGGAUGUUUUCUUGAGUCUUUCAGUAUCUUAUUAAAAAGACUUCAGACUCAUCAGGAUCUUACUUUUCUUUAUGGAGGACUGUCUUCAGUGUUCGCACCAGCAUUUGGUUUAUUGGCCAAACCAUUUGGUUUAUUCUUGCAGAAUAUGAAUUGCCCAGUAUUUCAGCAUCGCAUUAAAGAAUGGGUCUGUAGACAGACACGUGUAACUAAAGCAUUGCACAUUAAAAUACUUUGAAAACUGACUAAAAUGGGUAAUAUAUGCCAGUGUCCCUGUAUAUUCAUCGCUUAUGGAAAACAAUUUGGAGGGUGUGGCUGUGCUCUCUGUAGGGCGCUCUGUUUGCUGGAGUAUGUAGCAUGAAAAACGUAAUGUGAAUUUACCAUUCUCACAAAAAAACCAAACCAAACCAAAGUAUGUGCAUAUUGUAUUUUGUGGUUGAGAUUUUAUACAUGCCAAAGACAAGAAAUUCAGUUAUGAUUCCCACAGCGACUGUAAAUUGGCUAUGACGCAUACAUUU
This 766-nucleotide long non-coding RNA is filed under the name Crocodylus porosus (Australian saltwater crocodile). Its description in RNAcentral is "lncRNA (ENSCPRG00005016443.1)". The record is from RNAcentral. Lineage: Eukaryota; Metazoa; Chordata; Crocodylia; Crocodylidae.